Molecule: small RNA, 59 nt
Filed under: Xanthomonas vasicola pv. musacearum NCPPB 4392
Lineage: Bacteria; Pseudomonadati; Pseudomonadota; Gammaproteobacteria; Lysobacterales; Lysobacteraceae
Description: Xanthomonas campestris pv. musacearum NCPPB 4392 sX9
Source: RNAcentral
CUGCGAUUCUGAGCGCGCCAUCCACGCCCACCUGACGACCGCUCGCUACGGUUUGUUAG